GGGGCCGGGAAGCCGGAGCUGCGAGCUCUGAAAUCCCAGCCCUGAGCCGGAGCUGCCAGGCUGCCCCGUCUCCCGAAACACACUGCGCUACGCCCGGCUUCCCCGACGGCUCUGCGUCGGCAGUGAAGUAAUGAAGGGUUUAACAAGAGCUUCCUGUUGUGCUGACACCACCGUGAAUGCACAGAGGAGGAAAUGGAGUAAACAGCGCUGCGCUGGUCCCGCCUGGCUGCGAGCAGGGAAAGGCCUCGGCCGUUGCGAGGAGGCCCCAAGGCUGUCACUGCUUAACCCGACCCCGCUGGGGCUGGGGGUGACGUUCUUGUGGCUGCAGAAACCACAAAGCGUCUCGCCCUGCUGGGAAAGCAGCUGCUUUCAGGACUUCCUGAUUUUCAGGGAUUCCCCCCCAAAAAGCCCUUCACCCCCGCCCUCCGCAGGGGCUGUCACCACGCGGCAGUCCGUCCUCCGGCACCGCGGGGCUGGCCCCGCUCUCCUGGGCAAGGUGCUCGCGCCCCGAGCUGGGUGCCCCGAGUUCCUCUCUCAAAGCGCCGCUCUUGCCUUGAGGAAGGAGGAGGAAAUCGGGCCAGAACACACCGAUCUGCUGCCCGGUGGGUUGGUUCGGGUUGAGCAGAGCGGGAGCUGGUGGAGGUGUGGCGUGGAGCAGCUCGCGGUGCCGUGCCGUCCCCCUGGCUCCUCAGCCCGUGUCGGAGCCUUCCCUAGAAUGAGGACCGGGGACGGGUUUUCUCCCAGCUGCAAACUUCCCCUCUUCCUCGUGGGGAAGCAGCAGGUGACGGCCCGCGCUGUGGACCCACGUCUGAGCCGAUCGCGCUCCUGCAGUGGGAAGGAGCGAGGCGCUGCGCGGCCCAGGGCUGGAGGAAGCUCGGCGGGUCCCUGGGGAGCCCGUUGCGUCGCCGAGCCUGGCAGCACAAGGCGGGGAGAGGAGCCUGCGCUUCCAGCUUACGGCUUUCCUGUUGCCCAAGCCAAAGGUCAGCGUGAACUGCCCGAGUCCAAGUGCUGGAAGGACUCUUCACGUAACAAAAGAACCUCCUACCAAUUGUCUUGUUUCCUCGAAAAUCCGCUCGGCGCCCACCAGCGCGAAGGCUUCGCGUCGCGGGGAGCUUGGCAGCACGCGAUGGAGCGCGGUGCCGCCCCCGAGGCGAGGGCAGGAGCCUGCCCCGUGUGUCCCGUGCGCGGGCAGCCGCGCUUGGAGCCGUGCCGCUGCGUGGGGCCGUCCCACCGGUGUGCGGGCAGGGCGAAGGGAAGGCGAGCGAGCGGGGUCUGGUGCCGCCACGGGGGCGGCUGGGGAAGGGAGGGGUCUGAAGCCCACGUGGUUACGCUGGUGCCGAAGCUGGGGGAGCGCUCCCGUCCCGCCGUAAAGGUGUGCCCGUGCAUGUUGCUGACCGUCAGCUCACUAGCGGGGGGGCGGGCUGGGUUUGUACGCGGGCAAGCUCCCGCUGCCGCUCCGGGUGUGCCGGUCACCUUGGCUGUCCUGCAGGAUGUGCUGGCGUUGGGCUCGGACCACCUUGGGUUGCCCGUUGAAUUCCCAGGGUACGAGAAGUGGUUUUUACGCCUUGGAAACUCCGCUGGAUUUCCCUCUUGUGGCAGCUGUGCGGACAGGGUUUUUCUCGGAGCGCUCAGAGUUACCAAAGUGAGGAGCUGCAGCCCAGAGGGCGACUCCUGUCAGCCCCGGGGAGCACGGGGCGCUGCAGACCCAGCGGGAAGGAUUUGGGACUUCAGAAGGUUUUCCUUUCCUCUCGGUCCAGGGAUGGUGUUUGCAGCAGGUGGCUUCGUGGCCAGCUCCCACCCUCUGAAGUAGCCGGCGCGGUCUGCCUGCAAGCUGCAGCCUCGUUCCUCCAGCACCUGGUGCCCUCUGCGCUCCGUGCCCCCGUCAGCGCGUGGCGCCUGUGGCCGUGCGUCGAGCCUGCGUCUCAGGAGGGCUUUUUGUACCGCUGCCGUUCCCAGCACUGGGCUGGGAACUUUUUUUUUGCCCCUUUUCAGCUUCUGUUUUCAUCCUGCAGCUCCUUGCACCCCCGGAUGAGGUCUCCCCACGAGUGCAGAGACCUGCCCUUGCUGCGGGUGCCCCCGCGUAGCGUGGAGGGGAGAUGGAGAGGUCGCGGCUCGAUGGUCAGACGUUGCCACCACCCUCUUGCUGUUCAUGUGCCUCUCUUUGCUGCUUGAGUUUCAACUUCUUAAUUUUGUGAGCACACUUGGCUCCAUUUGCGGCACCGAGGGCCUUUCCUGCUUUCUCAGACCCAGGAGAUUCCCCAGCUGCUGUCCCCAGCGUUUAACACCUCAGCCUCGUCUCCAGCCGGGGGCUUCCUACCCUCUCCCCCGCCACCGGCAGCGCUGCUUCCCUCGGGGGCCGCCGGCGGAGCAGCGUCCCCGUGCUGAGAAGCGGCUGGCGGAGGGAACCAGCUCGCGGGGUGGUUUUGUGCUGGCGCUGAGCCGCAACCCAAGCGGCGGCUGACGCCAAGGAGCGGAGCUGCUGUGCAGGUGACAGCACGUCCCGGGGAAGCUCCGCGGGCCUUCCAGCUGCAGCUCGCCGAGCGAGGAGCCGCGCUGGGAGGACCAUCUCCGCAGGAUGUUCUCGCCACCAAAGAGCUCCCUGUAGCUGGCGACGAUGACAAUCCCGGCGGAGCCUCGGGAAGCACUAACGUUUCAGUAGCCCAGCACCCGUGGGUG
Cygnus olor (mute swan) is the source of this 2676-nucleotide RNA transcript. It is a transcript of the gene named casein kinase 1 gamma 2, with no coding region annotated. The record is from RefSeq and is a predicted model, not a curated record. The transcript has 2 exons. NCBI's taxonomy places the organism in Eukaryota, Metazoa, Chordata, Aves, Anseriformes, Anatidae.